RNAcentral lists this ribosomal RNA (214 nucleotides) under Escherichia coli. RNAcentral's name for it is "partial 16S ribosomal RNA". It matches the Rfam family "Bacterial small subunit ribosomal RNA", at positions 1 to 208 of the family's 1533-position model. Lineage: Bacteria; Pseudomonadati; Pseudomonadota; Gammaproteobacteria; Enterobacterales; Enterobacteriaceae. The record is from RNAcentral.
UUAAUUGAAGAGUUUGAUCAUGGCUCAGAUUGAACGCUGGCGGCAGGCCUAACACAUGCAAGUCGGGCGGUAACAGGGAGAAGCUUGCUUCUCUGCUGACGAGCGGCGGACGGGUGAGUAAUGUAUGGGGAUCUGCCUGAUGGCGGGGGAUAACUACUGGAAACGGUAGCUAAUACCGCAUAAUGUCUUCGGACCAAAGCGGGGGACCUCCGGG